Nothobranchius furzeri (turquoise killifish) is the source of this 1963-nucleotide non-coding RNA. The record is from RefSeq and is a predicted model, not a curated record. Lineage: Eukaryota; Metazoa; Chordata; Actinopteri; Cyprinodontiformes; Nothobranchiidae.
CUCACUACCGUUGUGAGCACGAAGCGGUUGGUUACCGAAGGGAACAGCGGCUGUGUGGGAGCGUUUUCAGCUGCCAUGCCGGUACCGCUGUUCCGACCACCUUCAUCACCGCACGCCCUCGCUACUCCAUCGGAUCUCUUCCGCUAACACAAGCCCCGGCGUUCCCAAACACCCACGGGCCUUCCGACUGACAGACCGCCCAUCAGAGGUGCUGCUGGGGCGUUUAUCCUUCUUUCACUCCAGUCACACGACUCACCUGCUCAACUGCUAAGACCAGCUGAUGGACUCAAACUUGGUUCAGGAACUUUGCUCUCCUCAGUCAAAAAGUAGCACAUUCCUCAAUGUCUACAUGUCCUUAUGUCUCAAGUUUAUCUGUGUCCCUUUGUUCAUUUUUCUGGAUGUCCUAGGUUUGUGUCUUCCUGUGUCCCUGUCCAACAACCAUAAUUAAGUGUGUUUUUGCGAGUAUGUCAGAAACACCACAGCUUCACGAGGACUUGCUUCUGCCUUGUGUCAUAUUUGAAUCUGUUUUGCAAGUUUUAGUUAAAUCCUGAUCCAGUCUGAUGUGAAGCAGAGACCCCCAAAGGUCAUCACUCACCUUCUGCACCUGCAAUACAUACACAUCUAUCGUUGUUACACACACACACACACACACACACACACACACACACACACACACACACACACACACACAGAAGGAGGUGGAGUGUGUAAUCUGUUGUUUGUUCCUUAGAACACCUCUACAGAACUGAAACCAAAACCUGCACAACACCAGGAAGUAGAGGGACUGGAUAACACAAUCCCACACACACCAGUGACAGCUCUUCCAUAGGGGCACUGCCCUUGCUGAUGUGAAAUAAAAUCAGGUAUUUACAAUAGGGAUGCUGAUCCGAUCACGCAAUCAGAUCAGAGUAUCCCUAUUGUAUACAUUUACAAAUGAUUGGAAUCAGGUGAAACAGAUCAGAUUAACGUUAUAAAACCUUAAAAGGCUGCAGCGUGUUGUGCGCUCUGCUGAGAAGGUCAUUGGCUUCAAACUCCCCUCCAUACAGGACCUGUACACUUCCAGGACGCUGAGGCGUGCAGGUCUGAUCACAGCUGACCCGUCUCACCCUGGACACAGUCUCUUUGACUCACUCCCAUCUGGCAGGAGGCUCCGAUCCAUUCGAACCAGAACCUCUCACCACAAAAACAGUUUCUUCCCCUCUGCGGUCGGACCCAUAAACAAUCGUAGACCUGCCCACUCCAGUUUCUUUGUUCUAGUCACAUGACCCUAAUGCUGUGUUUGCACCUGAACUGACCCGCUCUGACCAGUACCUACACAGACUUGUAUAAAGUAGUUGCCUCUCUAAUUAUUGCCUCCCUGUAUUAUUAACAUUUCAUUGUUUAUUUCUUAAUUCUAAUUUUGCUUAUCAUUUAGUUUUUCUUGCACCAAGUACCGCAGCAAUCCCUAAUGUUGUGAGUCUCGCACACAUGGCAAUAAAACCUUCUGAUUAUGCAAUCAACAAGCAAGACCUCUGAAUUGAAAAUGACCUCAUUUGAACAAGUCCCUCUACAUCAAUACUCACUGCUGCAUGGACAAAAACACUAAUGUCACAAAAUGUAUGGCAGGCAGGGAAUUCAGACACCAUAACAUGUAGCUGUCUGCUAGCAGGCUAAUGCAGAGCUAACGUGUCGCCUUAGGAGAGCAAAAAUGUCUGCAGUGUGAUCAUAACCCGACAGUGAUGGCAGUGCAACAGCCACUUGUAAUGUGAGCAUAUUGGGAAUUUUGCGUAGUGGAAAAGACAAAGCUGCAUUCCACACUUCCAAUCUGAUAUGCCACCUAAAGAACACUUCAUUAUCCUGAGGCUUUUCACUACAGUAAAUCACCCAUCUCCAUUUAGUCCUAGUUCACCUUAACAAAAGACAUCCUGCUCAACACCCCUAGGUCACUGCAGCAACUCAGACAAAAACACAGAGCCAGCCUACA